RNAcentral lists this ribosomal RNA (253 nucleotides) under uncultured bacterium. RNAcentral's name for it is "partial 16S ribosomal RNA". It matches the Rfam family "Bacterial small subunit ribosomal RNA", at positions 524 to 776 of the family's 1533-position model. The record is from RNAcentral.
UACGAAGGGGGCUAGCGUUGUUCGGAAUUACUGGGCGUAAAGCGCACGUAGGCGGGUCGUUAAGUCGGGGGUGAAAUCCUGGAGCUCAACUCCAGAACUGCCUUCGAUACUGGCGAUCUUGAGUCUGGGAGAGGUGAGUGGAACUCCGAGUGUAGGGGUGAAAUUCGUAGAUAUUCGGAAGAACACCAGUGGCGAAGGCGGCUCACUGGCCCGGUACUGACGCUGAGGUGCGAAAGCGUGGGGAGCAAACAGG